CCUACGGGCGGCAGCAGUGGGGAAUAUUGCGCAAUGGGCGAAAGCCUGACGCAGCGACGCCGCGUGAGGGAUGAAGGUCUUCGGAUCGUAAACCUCUGUCAGCAGGGAAGAACGGUCACUGUGCUAAUCAGCAGUGAAUUGACGGUACCUGCAAAGGAAGCACCGGCUAACUCCAUGCCAGCCGCCGUGGUAAUACGGAGGGUGCGAGCGUUAAUCGGAAUUACUGGGCGUAAAGCGCUCGUAGGCGGUAUGUCAAGUCAAGGGUGAAAUCCCCGCGCUCAACGUGGGAACUGCCUUUGAAACUGGCAAACUGGAGUGUGUGAGAGGAUAGUGGAAUUCCAGGUGUAGGAGUGAAAUCCGUAGAUAUCUGGAGGAACAUCAGUGGCGAAGGCGACUAUCUGGCACAUAACUGACGCUGAGGAGCGAAAGCGUGGGUAGCAAACAGGAUUAGAUACCCUUGUAGUC
RNAcentral lists this ribosomal RNA (465 nucleotides) under uncultured bacterium. Its description in RNAcentral is "partial 16S ribosomal RNA". It matches the Rfam family "Bacterial small subunit ribosomal RNA", at positions 338 to 795 of the family's 1533-position model. The record is from RNAcentral.